CGGCAACAUGGAACUUGUGUUGCCCCAGCCUCACGGCUCUCCCAGCCCUCCUCAGGUGUGCGUUUAGCGACAGAGUGUCUGCACUCUUCCUGCUCUCGUUGCACGGCCCCACGCACGCAGGCACAUUAUUCCUGACGCGGUCCACAUCCACACCUCGAUUUGUGUUCCCCUGAGCCACCGCUGCCCCACGUCCCGCCUCAGACACACACACACACACACACGCACAUCUCUUCCUCCUCAAGGAAGCGACGAAGCGAGGGUAAACAGUGACGUCCGCCCUUGCGGCUGGAUCGCCGCUCCAGAAACGACUGCAGCAGCUGCAGAAACAGUUCGGCAGCAUCUACGACUCGUACGCACUCACAGUGCCUGACGCGGACCAGGAAGAGCAAAGGCAAAGGUCGAUCAUCAUAUCCGCGCUCGCCUUCAGCGAGCCAUGGGCACAGACCUUGGCGCACUCUAUCGCGACGCUUUCGCCUCAUCGCAGGUGCGAAUGUCAGCGGCCGAUCUUGAGACCCCCUCCUCGGGCUGGUGCCGUCCCUGACAGCGCUGAGUGGUUUGCCUACCGCAGACGCACCACUUCUCCUGAUUGUGACGCGCGCUCUUCAGCCCCAACGCAGUGAGGCCCCCACCCCGCACGUGCCCGACGCUGUUUUGCAGAGCGUUUUGCUGAACCUAACGCGUCGUCUUCACCACCCAGAGCCGUGGUCUGUAGGGUCCGCCCAGGUGGCGUUGGCCAUCCGCACCACGGCUGCAGCACUCCACACGCGCCUCUUGCAGCACUUUGUCGCCAGCGCAGUGGCGUCAGUGGCAAGAGCUAGCCAACCACACACUUCUGCACGACGUGCACACGUGGGUGACGGAGCUGGAGGUGGCGCAGACGCGGUCCGGCGACGCAAGGACGCAAAGGAACCCGUCUAUUCCGAAGACGAACGCGCCGGCAUCGGUGCUGUCACCGACGACGGCGGCGGCCCUGCUCUGUCAAAUGCUGAGCUUUCUCGCCGUCCUCGCGGAGCACCCGUGCGUCCGUUCCCUCGCCAGCGAGUCGUGGAAGCCGUUGCUGUUGUCUGUUGUGUCCGUUAUCGGACAGCCGAGGGACGCCACCAAGCAGCUGGAGCUCACUUACACGGCGCUGCACGUUGUGCUCGGUGUGCGAGAUGCCGGUGUGGUGCCACCAGAUGUGUGGAGGGAACUGGCUCUGCGGACAGUGGCGAAGUCGGUGCCGCACGGAGAGGAGGAUGCCCCGGUCCCGCUGCCCAUCUCGUCCCUCUCCAGCAAGCACCCUCAACUACGCCUCUCUCUUCGUCGCGUACGUACGACUGGUGAAGGCGCUUGUGUUUCUGGAGGUGGAGGAGAGCGCCACAGGCAGCAACACAGCGAGGAGCACAGCAAUGCAGAUGCAUGCCGUUCUUGCCGGGCUCGUAGAGAUGUCUACGCAUGUGUACCUGGAGAAGGACGCGUCUCCGGCGGCCGCGUCAGGCGCUGCCAAGGCUCGAGUCCCCCUGCUGUCGACGGUUGUGAAAGACCUGCUCAGUGUGCGCGAGGAAAGCCGCAGCUCACCAACGCAGUACGUCCGGUAUGUGCAGCGGAUGCUCAUCGGCCGAACGCCUAUCGUCCCGUGCAUCAUCACGCAGCUGCUGCGAGACUGCCAGUCUCAGACGGCGCUGCUGACGACGUCCCAUGAUCCCACGGUCCUCGGCACAAACGUGGAGAUCCUGCAGAAUGUUUUUCUGUGGUCCGUCCACGCCGCCAUCGAUGAGGAACUACUGGAUGUGUCGCACCGCGCCGAGGUGUUCCCCGCCUUGCCAUGGGGUCUCUACGACGCAGCAGAUGCCUUCGUUGGACAGCUGACCGUGCGCCUCGCAGAGGUGCUCCUGACGUGUCCAGCGGUGUGCGCACACAAAGACGCGGUGGUGCUCGAGGCACGCGUCAUCGCGUGCGAGGGACUCACGUUGCUGCUGCGCUUCUUACUUUUUGUGGUGAUACCGUGUGGCGUGCCGGAUGAAGUAUCGUGGAACGCGCGCUACCGCGCGUGCCCGUACGCGACUGAGGAACGCGUCAUGUGGACGGUGGCUGCGUUCGACUGCGGGUCGCCACAUGUGCUGUCUGCCUUCAUUGAUGCGCUAGACCAAAUGAGCAUACUUCUUGCCCCCCACGAAGGCGAAGGUGAGCACGCUGCUGCCGUCGUCCACACGACCCUCACUAGUCCCUGCAGGAUGUCAAGGCGCGGUGGACAAACUCAUGAAAGUGAUUCCUAUUUUUUAGACAUGCUGCACGUCACCGCAUGCGUGGCCGUGCGCCUUUCCGGUAAGCCGGCACGCGCCGAUCACUGCCUCCCUCUCCCCUUCCCUGUGCUUCCGCCCGUACACGUGCGGGAGGGGGGGGGGCAAUAUGUUGCUGCUGCGUUUCUCCCCAUCCCGCCACUGAGGCAAACCCAAAACGAAUUUCCCACCCUGACCCGCAGACCGGUGCUGAUGGACGCCACACGCGUGCGCAUCGGUGUGAGAACACAAUCCUGAACAAAAAGGAGCUGGCCUUUUCCGUCGCUGAUCCUUGGGCUGUCGCACUGUAUGGGCGAGCUCCACACCCGCCCCACCUCUCAAAACCUGUGCUCACAGCCCCCACGCUCUCCUCCUUUGCGCCGCGAGAACAGAAAGACGACUGACUUGAACAACGUUCCACUCGCUGCUUCGCCGCCUCCCAAGACCAACAGGGCAGGGUGAGCACGAAAACGGUGCGGCGGAAAAAAAGGAGUACGGCACUCAGGGUUCCCGAGUCAUCACUGACCUCAGUACUAACGGAGCCUGUGAGUGCUUAACUUCACAAAUCGGACGGGAUAUGGUGUUUUCACUCAAGUGUGGUCGUACUCGUCGUCGCGUCGGUACGGCAGCGGGGGCGACAAGCGCCUGUGGCGCGAAAAAUGAUGAGAGUGGGGUUUGAACCCACGCCCUCGAAAGGAUUGGAACCUUAAUCCAACGUCUUAGACCAC
This 2986-nucleotide transfer RNA is filed under the name Leishmania donovani. RNAcentral describes it as "tRNA.11.001". Lineage: Eukaryota; Euglenozoa; Kinetoplastea; Trypanosomatida; Trypanosomatidae. The record is from RNAcentral.